UUGUCAGUUUGGCGAACCUCAGCUAAAUAAAUUCUAAGAUUUAUAGCGGGUCCUUAGGCUAGCUGAAUAUGUACUAUGGAGAUGCAUCGACAUCUGGCAAUCAUCUUGUUCACAGUGUGCGGUCUUUGUGUAGCAAGCCACGGGACAGAAUCCGUUGGAGUGUUUACUAUUGCGUGCCGCUGCUAUAUUUUUUUCAAGGAGAGCUAUACGGUUACUCUAUGCCUUUGUUUAGGUAAACGUUUAUCCCUUGACCGCGGCUACGUUGGCGAUUGAUUGUCGCCUCGGGCCCAAGCUCACUGUUACAAAUCUCAAAUAAACACAAUCGGAUUGAAUGACAAUUAUUUAAUUAUGGCUAUGGUAAAAUCCGGAUUACAAUAUCACGGGAUUCUCCCCAAGUUCCAAAGGAAGGCUCCGGUGUUCUUUCAUCUCCGACAUAUAUAUGUAUAUGAAUAUUUCAGAAUA
Molecule: long non-coding RNA, 462 nt
Organism: Bombus pyrosoma
Lineage: Eukaryota; Metazoa; Arthropoda; Insecta; Hymenoptera; Apidae
Exons: 3
Source: RefSeq, a predicted model, not a curated record